Paramisgurnus dabryanus is the source of this 1311-nucleotide non-coding RNA. The record is from RefSeq and is a predicted model, not a curated record. NCBI's taxonomy places the organism in Eukaryota, Metazoa, Chordata, Actinopteri, Cypriniformes, Cobitidae.
GAAAAUGGACUACCUUUCCCAUACUACAACUGGUCAUGAUCAGGAACUUCCGCGAAAUUCAAACCCCCACUGUGUACUGGACGGAGGACGCGCGAUCUUUUGUCUUGUGGAGUUUUAUAUAACACAGUAAGAAGUCAUGUACCACACUUUGUCAACAAUAAAUGUUGUUUCUGCAAUCUGGAUAAAGAAUAAUAUAUUACUGCCUCUUGGAGAACAGCCGACCGUACUCCAGACAGACGUGAGGACAUCCAUUGCUUUUAAGUCAUGUACCACACUUUGUCAACAAUGCAUGUUGUUCCUGCAAUCUGGAUGAAGAAUAAUAUAUUACUGCCUCUUGGGAAAACAGCAGACUGUACUCCAGACAGAGACAAAGACAUGAGGACAUCCAUUGCUUUUAAGUCCUAUACUAGACUAUGUUGUUCCAGCUGUCUGGGUAAAGACUGAUACAUUACUGCCUCUUGGAGAACAGCAAACCAUUCUCCAGACAGAGACAUGGACAUCAAAACAGAAAACUAAGUACUUGAUCUUGGAUUGUUUGGGGUGAGCGCUGGCAAAUAAUGAAGCAGGAAAUGAAAAUGGCUGUAAGAAGUACUUUGUGUGCACAGACAUGACUGGAGAUUAAAGUUACUAAAUGUUGCUUUUUUUCUAGCUGGUGACAUAACUUUGUAUUAUUUUCAAAUGUAUUUAUCUAACACACAUUUACACAUCUGUAAACAUUCAUUUUAUAUUGCAUGUUUUUUAUAUUUAACCAAUUGUUGUAUAUUGCUUUCUGUUAUUACAUCUGUUUUUUAUUGCAUGUUUAUUGUUUAAAACAAUUAAGUUAAUGUUUCUCUGUUAGCUUUUGUUACUUUGGAUAUUUCUUUGCAUUUAUUUGAUCCUUCUACUGUUAUUUGUUUAUUUGGCAGAACAUUUGACAUUUCAUUUAUUUUGCUGUUAUCUGAAAUUAUUCUUGUCAGCAUCAAUAAAACUCUAUAUUUGCUUUAUAUCUGUGUUUUUCAAUUAUACAUUUUACGGUAUAUAAAUAUAUUUUGGUCACUUUAUGGCUAUUUUCUGGGGCAUCUGGAUAAGUUGCGGGUGGGUUCUGGGGUUAAUAUGGUAAUUUUGGUUAUUUUCUGGGUUACAUUUGGGGUUUCUGGAAAAGUUGUGGGUAAGUUUGGGGAUAAAUGUGGUAAUUUGGGCUCUUUUCUGGUUGUUAUCUGGAAAUUCCGGGAGAGCUGUGGCUGAUUUUUUCGAGGUGUGAAAGGGUUGCGGCUAAGUUACGGUCUGCUUUCGGCUAGAUUCUGGAUUACUUAAGGCAAGCAGCUCUGGGAC